CCAUCUGCCUUGUUGAGGAUCCAAGUAGUUACCCUUUCCCUGGAUUUUCAUUUUUACAAUGGACUGCAACUAUUGUAAGGUUUAUAAAAUUGAGUUUGUACCUGAAGUUAUACAAAGUCAAGGUAGGAUUUAACUCUCCGUGGAGUACAAUUGAAAUCCUACAAAAUUCAAGUGUAUGCAGACAUCAUGAUUGAUUUACACAAUGAUAUAAUCUAACUCUAAACAUAUGGGUUGUAUUCUACACUAUAACGUACUCCCUCUGGUCACAUUUAUAAGUAAAAACUUAACAUUUUAGGUUCAUUGAAUAACUAAUGUAUUUAGUCACAUUUAUAGACCGGAUUCAUUAGUCAUUCAAUGAAUCUAAAAAGUUCUAUUUUGCUUAUAAAUGUGAUCGAAGGGAGUAUGUUAUUUUCCUCACUAUUAUCUACGAGGAUUUGCAAUGAAUAUUUUUCACAUGUUCCAAAUUUUCCUUAGAACAGUCAUUUUUUCUUUUCUCUCUUCCGGGAAUGUUAAAAUUGAUUCAUCUCACAAUGACUUUAGUCUUCAAAUAUUCAUUGAUGGUCCAACAUGAACCCAAAAUUUCAUAGGUCCAUUUUAAACGAAACCUUCAUUGAUUUAGAUUAAGCCAAUUUUCAUUGUUGGUCGAUAUGAUGAGAACAAUACAAAUCUAGAAGGGGUGAGUAAUUUCCCUCUAAAAAUUUAGAAUUGGGUUUUUAAAAACUACUUUUGCAAAUCAAUAUGACUAUUAGAAAUAUGACUUAGUACUAAGAUUACAAAAUUAAAACAACGAACACAAUAAUAUUAAUUUUGAACAAGAGAUUCACAAUUGAUUUAAUGUUACACAAUCAAAUAUCAAUCACUUAAUUACAAACCCUAAUUAUUCUCAAAUCAAUCCUGAAACUUAAACAGGAAAUUACUACUAAUUGAAAUCACAAAACUUGUUCAUUGAUGAAUUCAUAAGCAAAUAAAUUUCUAAUAUGUUAAGUGAUUGGAUAACUAUUUUAAAUUCAAUGUUCUUCAAACAAAACGAGUUCAUUAUAAUGCUAUUAAUCACUUAACACAUAUUCAUUUUAAACUUAUCACAAUUCUUCAAUUAAUAAGCCAAAACUUGCAGAAAUUCAAAGGUAAGGGAGAAGAAUACACCGAAUUUAUAGUGGUUUCCCAAAUCGUCCUCGUUAUGGGGUAUAUCCACUCUUUGUAGAAUUUUUUUUGGCCUUCUACUAUGAUUGAGUGUUUGCACAAUGUACUACAUGGUUUUAUUAGAAGUAAUUAACAAAGCUUUUGACUUGAUCCAAGUCCAAGAUCCACGAACUUAACACCUAAGUACUUCAAAUCUUCAAUCCCACGAGAUCCCUUAACAAUCUUUGUUAAGAUUCCUUCUUUCACAUAAGUUCUUUUGAUUUCCUUAGGAAUUAAUGAACUAGAAAAAUCCCUAGCUUGUAAAGGAGAAAAGAAUGCCUUCUUGUUUCCUUUAGAACUUUGAGCAUUUCAAAUUUCUUGAAAGAUUCAAACCAUUACAUAACCUAAAAUUGUCCAUCUAAUCCAAGACCCAAAUUCUCACAAUGAACUAUGAAGAAUGUUUUCUUAUGGUAUUUGAGAGAAGGAGAGAAUAGCGAAUAGUAAUGAAUGAAACCAGUAAAUAGGUCAAAUUUUAGGUUUAAUCACUCUUGAGAAGGUAUUGGCCUAGUCCCCCUUCUCUUUUUUGUAUCAAUCUUUUUUAAUAUAUCUUUUUAGGGUUGUUGGCUCCUUGCUACAAUCCUAGUUUAAAAAAAAAAAAAAAAAAAAAGAAAGAGAGCCAUUGAGUUAUAUAGCUAAGCAAUAUAACUAGGAGAACCUUUGGCUUGAAUCAGAUUAGAAAUCAAGUUUUGGUUCCUUGAAAGCUAAGAAACCUUUAGAAAAUAUCGUCUUAGUAUUAUUACUAGCUCCUUGAAUUUCCUUGUCUCUCAUGAUUUUAGGAAAGGUAAUUAGUGUGCUGACAUCCUUGCCAACAUAUACUCUUUCCUCUAGUCUCUUAACUAUUUGGUUAGAUAUCCCUAACUGUCUCAAAGCUACUUUUGCACAAAACAAGUUAUUAUGAAUGCCUAACUUUAGAUUUGUAUAUCACUAAGGAGGUUUUGGUCUACUCUCCCUCCUUUUCUUUGAUAUUAUCCUGGUUAAUAUAUUUUGGUAGUUUAGCACUUUGCUACGCUACCCUCUUUUUGUCAAAAAACGAAAAAUAUCGCAAUGCAUCAUAGUCCAUGUUUGUGCAAAAUGAGUUAUUUUUCUCAAUCUUCAUACAUUCUCAAGCUCAUGUAAGGUAACCUAAUUUCAACCAUUUAAACUAAAACCAUGAUAUACAUAUAAACCACGAUAUCAUACACACAGACAAAGCGCUAAAGGUGUUACAUUUCUUGCGUUUAUUUUCAGUUUAAAAUACUUCAAUUUUUUUCUGAUAAUUUUAUUAUAUAUUCAUAAUGAAAUCAUUCAAACAUUAUGCAUAACUCAGAAAUAAAUAUUUUAUCAAACUAAAUAUUUCACCUUUCGUAACGUUUCCUUUUUUUAUCAUGUAUAAGGCUAUAUGGAAACACUAUAAUAAGAAUAACUUCUUAUUAUUGGGAAUUUUUUAUGGGACCUCUUUACUAAGCAUGGUGAAGGGACAAACAUGUAC
Molecule: long non-coding RNA, 2647 nt
Filed under: Medicago truncatula (barrel medic)
Lineage: Eukaryota; Viridiplantae; Streptophyta; Magnoliopsida; Fabales; Fabaceae
Description: long non-coding RNA (MTRU_LNC000795)
Source: RNAcentral